Molecule: ribosomal RNA, 836 nt
Filed under: Streptomyces sp. IM-7112
Lineage: Bacteria; Bacillati; Actinomycetota; Actinomycetes; Kitasatosporales; Streptomycetaceae
Description: bacterial SSU rRNA
Rfam family: Bacterial small subunit ribosomal RNA
Source: RNAcentral
GGCGGCGUGCUUAACACAUGCAAGUCGAACGAUGAACCACUUCGGUGGGGAUUAGUGGCGAACGGGUGAGUAACACGUGGGCAAUCUGCCCUGCACUCUGGGACAAGCCCUGGAAACGGGGUCUAAUACCGGAUACGAGGUUCGGAGGCAUCUUCGAACUUGGAAAGCUCCGGCGGUGCAGGAUGAGCCCGCGGCCUAUCAGCUUGUUGGUGAGGUAAUGGCUCACCAAGGCGACGACGGGUAGCCGGCCUGAGAGGGCGACCGGCCACACUGGGACUGAGACACGGCCCAGACUCCUACGGGAGGCAGCAGUGGGGAAUAUUGCACAAUGGGCGAAAGCCUGAUGCAGCGACGCCGCGUGAGGGAUGACGGCCUUCGGGUUGUAAACCUCUUUCAGCAGGGAAGAAGCGAGAGUGACGGUACCUGCAGAAGAAGCGCCGGCUAACUACGUGCCAGCAGCCGCGGUAAUACGUAGGGCGCAAGCGUUGUCCGGAAUUAUUGGGCGUAAAGAGCUCGUAGGCGGCUUGUCACGUCGAUUGUGAAAGCCCGAGGCUUAACCUCGGGUCUGCAGUCGAUACGGGCUAGCUAGAGUGUGGUAGGGGAGAUCGGAAUUCCUGGUGUAGCGGUGAAAUGCGCAGAUAUCAGGAGGAACACCGGUGGCGAAGGCGGAUCUCUGGGCCAUUACUGACGCUGAGGAGCGAAAGCGUGGGGAGCGAACAGGAUUAGAUACCCUGGUAGUCCACGCCGUAAACGGUGGGCACUAGGUGUUGGCGACAUUCCACGUCGUCGGUGCCGCAGCUAACGCAUUAAGUGCCCCGCCUGGGGAGUACGGCCGC